This 508-nucleotide ribosomal RNA is filed under the name uncultured bacterium. RNAcentral describes it as "partial 16S ribosomal RNA". It matches the Rfam family "Bacterial small subunit ribosomal RNA", at positions 28 to 507 of the family's 1533-position model. The record is from RNAcentral.
GACGAACGCUGGCGGCGUGCCUAAUACAUGCAAGUCGAACGCUUCUUUCCUCCCGAGUGUUUGCACUCAAUUGGAAAGAGGAGUGGCGGACGGGUGAGUAACACGUGGGUAACCUACCCAUCAGAGGGGGAUGACACUUGGAAACAGGUGCUAAUACCGCAUAACAGUUUAUGCCGCAUGGCAUAAGAGUGAAAGGCGCUUUCGGGUGUCGCUGAUGGAUGGACCCGCGGUGCAUUAGCUAGUUGGUGAGGUAACGGCUCACCAAGGCCACGAUGCAUAGCCGACCUGAGAGGGUGAUCGGCCACACUGGGACUGAGACACGGCCCAGACUCCUACGGGAGGCAGCAGUAGGGAAUCUUCGGCAAUGGACGAAAGUCUGACCGAGCAACGCCGCGUGAGUGAAGAAGGUUUUCGGAUCGUAAAACUCUGUUGUUAGAGAAGAACAAGGACGUUAGUAACUGAACGUCCCCUGACGGUAUCUAACCAGAAAGCCACGGCUAACUACGUG